UACAGAGAGUGCGAGCGUUAAUCGGAAUUACUGGGCGUAAAGCGCGCGUAGGCGGCUUUGCAAGUCGGAUGUGAAAUCCCCAGGCUUAACCUGGGAACUGCAUUCGAGACUGCAUUGCUAGAGUAUGGGAGAGGGAAGUGGAAUUUCCGGUGUAGCGGUGAAAUGCGUAGAUAUCGGAAGGAACAUCAGUGGCGAAAGCGACUUCCUGGACCAAUACUGACGCUCAUGUGCGAAAGCGUGGGGAGCAAACAGG
This 253-nucleotide ribosomal RNA is filed under the name uncultured bacterium. RNAcentral's name for it is "partial 16S ribosomal RNA". It matches the Rfam family "Bacterial small subunit ribosomal RNA", at positions 524 to 776 of the family's 1533-position model. The record is from RNAcentral.